UGCGUCAAGGAAUUUAAAUUUUGCUCUGAGCGCACCUGCAAGGCACCGGAGACGGUUUUCGUGCAGGUUGUGUUAUGACACAUGAUAUAUAGAAUGACUCUCGGCAACGGAUAUCUAGGCUCUUGCAUCGAUGAAGAACGUAGCGAAAUGCGAUACUUGGUGUGAAUUGCAGAAUCCCGUGAACCAUCGAGUCUUUGAACGCAAGUUGCGCCCGAUGCCAUUAGGUUGAGGGCACGUCUGCCUGGGUGUCACAUAUCGAAGCCUCCUGCCAAUUUCCCUUUGAUUAUUGUCCAGGGUGGACGUUGGCCUCCCGUGAACUCUUUUUGGUCAUGGUUGGUUGAAAAUUGAGACCUUGGUAGGGUGUGCCAUGAUAGAUGGUGGUUGUGUGAUCCACGAGACCAAUCAUGUGCUGCUCUAUUAAAUAUGGCCUCUUUUACCCAUAUGCGUUUCUAAACGCUCGUGAUGAGACCUCAGGUCAGGCGGGGCUACCCGCUGAAUUUAAGCAUAUCAAUAAGCGG
RNAcentral lists this ribosomal RNA (518 nucleotides) under embryophyte environmental sample. RNAcentral describes it as "eukaryotic LSU rRNA". The stretch from base 96 to 251 matches the Rfam family "5.8S ribosomal RNA". Lineage: Eukaryota; Viridiplantae; Streptophyta. The record is from RNAcentral.